AUGUGCAUAUGUAACUUGUGUGAGUGUACAUGUAUGUACUUGUGUAGCUUGUGAGAGUGUACAUGUAUGUGCACGUGUAGCUUGUGUGAGUGUUUGUAAUGAAAGUAAGACGUAGGGGGGAUGUGUUUGACGCGGUAGCAGCGUUGCUCCAAGUGAAAAAUCAAGCUGCUGUACUCCAGCCCUCGCUGAGUGGUCCUAGGUCUGGGCUCCUCUGUCCCAAAAGGCAGUUUUUAGUAAGCUCUAAGCCCUAAACUAUUAUCAUCAUGAUGUAAGUUGUGUUGACACGCUAGUCUUUUCUAUCUUGCACUACCAGGCCGUGCCUGUAGAGGGCGUGGUGACCACAUACUGUACCUUUGUGGAAUUAUUUUGUGGUGAUUAUGAAGACCACUUACUAUACCUUUGUGGGAAUAUUUUGUGGUGAUGUUUUUGAGGACCACUUACUGUACCUUUGUGGAAAUAUUUUGUGGUGAUUAUGAAGACCACUUACUAUACCUUUGUGGAAAUAUUUUGUGGUGAUGUUUUUGAGGACCACUUACUGUACCUUUGUGGAAAUAUUUUGUGGUGAUGUUUUUGAGGACCACUUACUGUACCUUUGUGGAAAUAUUUUGUGGUGAUUAUGAAGACCACUUACUAUACCUUUGUGGGAAUAUUUUGUGGUGAUGUUUUUGAGGACCACUUACUGUACCUUUGUGGAAAUAUUUGCCAAGGCUGGCGCUGUAGCUGUAGCUCCGAUCCAUUCCAAACGCUCCUGAAAAAACAAGUUUGUACAUUUCUCAAAGUGUUUACAUUCACACAUCAGUUUAAAUGUUGAUAUCACUUUGCUGUAUCUGCCUGUUCAUCAGGCUUGUAGGAUGAAGAUAAAUGUUUGAUAGCAAAUCAAAGAAGGACCGAUGAAGUUCAUGAAGGUGCAGGAAGCCAGGCCAGUUAAGAAAGUGAUCCAGGACGUGCUGAGGUCUCACCUGGUUCUUGGCGAGCCUGCUGGUGUUUCCAGUCUGCAGGCAGCGUGGCGUUGAAGAGGCCGUGACCGUCUGGCUGCAUCUUCUUCAGCUGCUGGUUGGUGUUCUGCACAAACAAAAGGAUCCAGGCCAGGACUUGGUGCCACUGCAGGAUGUGUACUGGAAGACCACAAACCAGGACUUGGUGCCACUGCAGGAUGUGUACUGGAAGACCACAAACCAGGACUUGGUGCCACUGCAGGAUGUGUACUGGAAGACCACAAACCAGGACUUGGUGCCACUACAGGAUGUGUACUGGAAGACCACAAACCAGGACUUGGUGCCACUACAGGAUGUGUACUGGAAGACCACAAACAGCAUGUGACUUCUAGGAUACUUGUGUUACUAC
This is a long non-coding RNA of Nerophis ophidion (straightnose pipefish), 1344 nucleotides long. RefSeq lists it as uncharacterized. NCBI's taxonomy places the organism in Eukaryota, Metazoa, Chordata, Actinopteri, Syngnathiformes, Syngnathidae. The record is from RefSeq and is a predicted model, not a curated record. The transcript is spliced from 2 exons.